RNAcentral lists this transfer RNA (70 nucleotides) under Psammotermes voeltzkowi. Its description in RNAcentral is "tRNA-Gln". Lineage: Eukaryota; Metazoa; Arthropoda; Insecta; Blattodea; Rhinotermitidae. The record is from RNAcentral.
UAUAUCUUGGUGUAUGGUGCACGUUAGCUUUUGAUGCUCGGCGGUGACAGUUUAAUUCUGUCGGAUAUAA